AAUUGUUCCUACAUGCCAUUAACAAUUUGAGCUCAUGUCUCCUCCUUCCCUGAGUUGGAAAUUUUUGGAGCCUAAUAUGAACUGUACUGCUACACCUGCUACAGACUAGAGCAGAUUUAUUCAGCUAUUGUCCGCAAUAAAAAAGAUGAUUUACUUUGUUAUGCUUCUUGUGUUGAAUCAAAGGACAUGCCAACAGUAC
Molecule: long non-coding RNA, 199 nt
Filed under: Hordeum vulgare
Lineage: Eukaryota; Viridiplantae; Streptophyta; Magnoliopsida; Poales; Poaceae
Description: long non-coding RNA (HVUL_LNC019095)
Source: RNAcentral